GUGGGGAAUUUUGGACAAUGGGCGCAAGCCUGAUCCAGCAAUGCCGCGUGCAGGAAGAAGGCCUUCGGGUUGUAAACUGCUUUUGUACGGAACGAAACGGUCCUGGUUAAUACCCGGGGCUAAUGACGGUACCGUAAGAAUAAGCACCGGCUAACUACGUGCCAGCAGCCGCGGUAAUACGUAGGGUGCAAGCGUUAAUCGGAAUUACUGGGCGUAAAGCGUGCGCAGGCGGUGCUGUAAGACAGGCGUGAAAUCCCCGGGCUUAACCUGGGAAUUGCGCUUGUGACUGCAGUGCUGGAGUGCGGCAGAGGGGGAUGGAAUUCCGCGUGUAGCAGUGAAAUGCGUAGAUAUGCGGAGGAACACCAGUGGCGAAGGCGACCACCUGGACUGAUACUGACACUGAGGUGCGAAAGCGUGGGGAGCAAACAGGAUUAGAUACCCGAGUAGUCC
RNAcentral lists this ribosomal RNA (450 nucleotides) under uncultured bacterium. Its description in RNAcentral is "partial 16S ribosomal RNA". It matches the Rfam family "Bacterial small subunit ribosomal RNA", at positions 354 to 796 of the family's 1533-position model. The record is from RNAcentral.